Ricinus communis (castor bean) is the source of this 108-nucleotide non-coding RNA. Lineage: Eukaryota; Viridiplantae; Streptophyta; Magnoliopsida; Malpighiales; Euphorbiaceae. The record is from Rfam.
AAUCCAUGGUGUGGGCAUUGCAAUAAAAGUGAUUUGAAGUGAUCCCAUGCUCCAUGAAAAGAUUCAACAUCCUUUUGAUAAAAGUUAGAAAUUUCAGCCCUUAAUUAU